RNAcentral lists this long non-coding RNA (200 nucleotides) under Elaeis guineensis (African oil palm). RNAcentral's name for it is "long non-coding RNA (EGUI_LNC070096)". The record is from RNAcentral. Lineage: Eukaryota; Viridiplantae; Streptophyta; Magnoliopsida; Arecales; Arecaceae.
UUGUGGAAGCUCAACCACCAGAGAAGUUCGAAAAUAUGUCGCUCAAGGUCAGAUGCCGGCAAAGUCCUAGGAGGGUCACUCUCGACCCAAACUUCGGUUGGGGGGGUAUUUUAUACCCAACACCAGUCCUCCCACUUUCGAGUUCGAGCUUCGAAUGAAGAAAGUAUAGAGAAGUUUUUACAGCCGAAGUUGCCCCCUUG